RNA transcript from Prosopis cineraria, 1217 nucleotides. RefSeq lists it as uncharacterized. The transcript has 2 exons. The record is from RefSeq and is a predicted model, not a curated record. NCBI's taxonomy places the organism in Eukaryota, Viridiplantae, Streptophyta, Magnoliopsida, Fabales, Fabaceae.
UCAAAAUGUGGUUCAAAUAAUCACUGACAAUGCAUCUGUUUGCAAAUCAGCAGGUAGGCUUAUAGAGGCUGAGUAUCCCACUAUUUUUUGGACGCCAUGUGUUGUGCAUACGCUUAAUCUUGCAUUAAAGAACAUAUGUGCAGCAAAGAACACAGAGGCAAAUGAGAUUGUGUAUGAUGAAUGCCAUUGGAUAGAGGAGGUUAAGGAUGAUGCUGCUUUUAUUAGAACAUUUAUCAUGCGUCAUUCUAUGCGAUUGGCAAUUUUUAAUGAAUUUGUGCCAUUAAAAUUACUUGCCAUAGCUGACACUCGCUUUGCAUCCACCAUUGUUAUGCUCAAAAGACUCAAGCUCAUUAAAACUUCACUUCGUACAAUGGUGAUAAGUGAAGCAUGGAAUGCUUAUAAGGAAGAUGAUGUUGGAAAGGCAGCCACAGUGAAAAAUUUGAUCCUUAAUGACUCUUGGUGGGAUAAGGUGGAUUAUAUACUUUCUUUCACUGGACCGAUUUAUGACAUGCUUCGGAUGGCUGACACAAAUAAGCCUAUACUUCAUUUAAUUUAUGAAAUGUGGGAUUCAAUGAUAGAAUAAGUGAAGGAGUCCAUCUACAAGCAUGAGAAUAAGGAGCUUUCUGAGUAUUCAGCUUUCUUUGAUGUUGUUUAUAGGAUCAUUAUUGAUCGAUGGACAAAAAGUUGCACUCCCCUUCAUUGUCUUGCACAUUCAUUGAAUCCUAGGUAUUAUACACCCCAAUGGCUUGAAGGUGCUCCCAAUAGAAUUCCGCCUCAUUUAGAUAAUGAAAUAUCAUCUGAGAGAGUAAAGUGCCUUUAUAGGUACUUUACUGAUCCUGAGGAGAGAAAGGCGGUCUUUCAAGAGUUCCCAAAAUUUGUUGGAAGUUUAGACUUCUAUUCAUCAUUUGAUUGCUUGCAAGAUAGGUGGAAUUUAGAACCUAAAGGGUGGUGGUUAAAUUAUGGUUCUUUCACCCCUAUUCUUCAGAGGCUUGCAUUGAAACUUCUAGGCCAACCGUGCUCUUCCUCUUGUUGUGAAAGAAAUUGGAGCACUUACUCCUUUAUCCACUCAUUGAAGAGAAACAAGAUCACUCCUAAAAGAGCUGAAGACUUAGUUUUUGUGCAUACUAAUCUUCGUCUCUUGUCAAGGAAGAGUGAAAAGUAUCGCAUUGGGCAAAGUAGAAUGUGGAAUAUUGGUGGGGACACUAUGGAGCCAUUUG